Molecule: ribosomal RNA, 542 nt
Filed under: Pseudogymnoascus sp.
Lineage: Eukaryota; Fungi; Ascomycota; Leotiomycetes; Thelebolales; Thelebolaceae
Description: eukaryotic LSU rRNA
Rfam family: Eukaryotic large subunit ribosomal RNA
Source: RNAcentral
GGCGAGUGAAGCGGUAACAGCUCAAAUUUGAAAUCUGGCCUCACGGUCCGAGUUGUAAUUUGUAGAGGAUGCUUCGAGCAUGGUCUGGCCUAAGUUCCUUGGAACAGGACGUCAUAGAGGGUGAGAAUCCCGUAUGCGGUCAGGUGCCUACGCUCAUGUGAAGCUCCUUCGACGAGUCGAGUUGUUUGGGAAUGCAGCUCAAAAUGGGUGGUAAAUUUCAUCUAAAGCUAAAUAUUGGCCAGAGACCGAUAGCGCACAAGUAGAGUGAUCGAAAGAUGAAAAGCACUUUGGAAAGAGAGUUAAACAGUACGUGAAAUUGUUGAAAGGGAAGCGCUUGCAACCAGACUUGCGCGCGGCCGAUCAUCCGGUGUUCUCACCGGUGCACUCGGCCGUGCUCAGGCCAGCAUCGGUUUCGGCGGUUGGAUAAAGGCCUCAGGAAUGUGGCUCCUCUCGGGGAGUGUUAUAGCCUGGGGUGCAAUGCAGCCUGCUGGGACCGAGGACCGCGCUUCGGCUAGGAUGCUGGCGUAAUGGUUGUAAGCGGC